UUUGACCUCGGAUCAGGUAGGAAUACCCGCUGAACUUAAGCAUAUCAAUAAG
This 52-nucleotide ribosomal RNA is filed under the name Harknessia eucalyptorum. Its description in RNAcentral is "partial 28S ribosomal RNA". RNAcentral also lists the same sequence under 7 other names. Lineage: Eukaryota; Fungi; Ascomycota; Sordariomycetes; Diaporthales; Harknessiaceae. The record is from RNAcentral.